CCUACGGGAGGCAGCAGUGGGGAAUAUUGGACAAUGGGCGCAAGCCUGAUCCAGCAAUGCCGCGUGAGUGAUGAAGGCCUUAGGGUCGUAAAGCUCUUUUACCAGGGAUGAUAAUGACAGUACCUGGAGAAUAAGCUCCGGCUAACUCCGUGCCAGCAGCCGCGGUAAUACGGAGGGAGCUAGCGUUGUUCGGAAUUACUGGGCGUAAAGCGUACGUAGGCGGUUAUUCAAGUCAGAGGUGAAAGCCCGGGGCUCAACCCCGGAACGGCCUUUGAAACUAGGUAGCUAGAAUCUUGGAGAGGUCAGUGGAAUUCCGAGUGUAGAGGUGAAAUUCGUAGAUAUUCGGAAGAACACCAGUGGCGAAGGCGACUGACUGGACAAGUAUUGACGCUGAGGUACGAAAGCGUGGGGAGCAAACAGGAUUAGAUACCCUGGUAGUCCACGCCGUAAACGAUGAUAACUAGCUGUUCGGGCACUUGGUGCUUGAGUGGCGCAGCUACGCAUAAGUUAUCCGUCCGUCGGGUAGGUACGGUCGCGAGAAGUUAAAACGUUAAAAGGUAAAGUUAGUACGGUCGUGUAGAGUUGUCCGAACGGACGACGACGAGGGAGGAGG
RNAcentral lists this ribosomal RNA (613 nucleotides) under uncultured bacterium. RNAcentral's name for it is "bacterial SSU rRNA". The stretch from base 1 to 516 matches the Rfam family "Bacterial small subunit ribosomal RNA", at positions 338 to 873 of the family's 1533-position model. The record is from RNAcentral.